GUUUCGUUUCUCAAUGGUGGUUAAGGGAGGCUCGGGUGCACUAAUUAGAGAAAUAAUGAUACAAAGAAGUGGCCCAACUUUAUGUUGGUGAAGCAAAUAGCUUUUGCAUCUUCGGAAUGAUGAAAGGAUGAUUAAAAAAACACAGUUUUGGUGUCCAUGAAAGACACCUUAACAAUUUGAUUUUAAGCCAUGAGUUAUCCUCACCUUCAUCGCUUCUCUCACACGUUGCAAGGAAUAGUAGGAAAUUUUAAAAGCCUGGAAACUAGGAAGCAAAAGGUUUAAAGGGAAUCCCAAUCAUGAUCACAUUGUCCAGGCCAACAAAGAAAAGCAGUCAACAAGAGGAAAAGCAAAGGGUGGAGUGUAUAAACAAAGGAAAAGUGAGGAGAAGAUGGGGUCUGCUGUCAGAUUGUAGGUAACUGGAUGUGGAUUUUCUUUUGCUUUUGUUAUAUCACUUUUGAUGGCUUCUAUGAUUAGGCAGUAACAAAUAUUCUUGGGAUCAUUUCACAAACAAAACUGUGCAUAAAAAGCAAUGAUUGGAACAAACAAUCUUAACUUUUAGACCGAAUACUGAAAUUUUGUUAAAUUGAUGAAUCAUGUUGAUAAAGGAUCCUAACUAAACAGGGAAAGAAAGAGCAUCAGAAGAAAACAAAUGGCUUAAUCCAGUUUUUGGUCCCUAUCCUUUGUCAUAAAUAUGGCUUUAGUCCUUCACCGGAGCAAAGGUGGGGAUUGGUCCCCAAUUUUUUGUAAAAUAGAUGGCUUUGGUCCUUCCGACCGGUUUGGUCAACACCAGAGCUCCGGAAAGCUCAUGUGGCAUUGCCACGUCAUUUAAUGAGCUUAGGUGGAAUUUUUAUUUAUUUUUUAUUGAAAUUAUUAAAAAAAAUUAAUUAACCCCAGUAAUUAAUGUCCCUAAUUAACCUCAUAUAUUAUUUAAAUAAAAUCAUUGAAAAGGGGAAAUUCAACAAAAUCCUUUUGCAAUACCCAGAACUCCAAUGCCACAACAUCAUAACUCUAACCCAUGAACUCCCCAAAUCUAAUAAACUACCCAAAGACACGAUAUUCAUCAAGAACCACCAACCUUCUAUUUCCCCUUCCUUCAUGAAAUCCUUUUGCAAUACUCAGAACUCCAAACCCUCCACCUCCUCCACGCGGGUAUGGGUAAAGGCUGGAUAUUUACAUCAAAAGGAACACGAAUCUUCUAUCAGCCAUCACCAUCUUGACGUUGUGUUGAAAGAACAUCAGGCUUGCAGAGAACGGUGGUGAUAGUGGACGAGAUCGAGGACCUGAAGCGCGGAUCUGAACCUCGCGCGAUGAAGGCGUCAGUUUGGUGGUGACAGAUCUGAGCUUUUGAAGCGCUGGAUCUUUGGUUGGUGUCUAUGGAUUCUGUUCUUGAGUAUCUGUUGGUGCUGUGAUUCUCCUAGCUGGGCGUGGUUGUUGCUUGUGAGAGUGCGGCAGGUUUUGUUGGACGAAGACAUAAGCUACCUCUUCUUGGAUAUUAUGUGGAAGAAAAAAAAAUUUAUGUGGAGGCCCUCACGCUGUGCUCCAUUUUCUUUUUCUUGUGUUAUGCUUCCUCUGUUUUACCCCUGUAACUAUGCUUCUAUUUUUCUUCCUGUUUUUUAAUCUUGGUCACUGACCUUGAUUUUUUCUUGUAUUUGCUUGAUGGGAGGCACCCUUUUAGUUUCGAUUCUAGUUUUGAUUUUGAUGUGUAGUUUCACCGUUCUUUUCGAUUUUGAUUUGAAGAAUGGAUAUGAAAAUAUUUUA
Lotus japonicus is the source of this 1758-nucleotide long non-coding RNA. RefSeq lists it as uncharacterized. The transcript has 2 exons. NCBI's taxonomy places the organism in Eukaryota, Viridiplantae, Streptophyta, Magnoliopsida, Fabales, Fabaceae. The record is from RefSeq and is a predicted model, not a curated record.